Molecule: ribosomal RNA, 468 nt
Filed under: uncultured bacterium
Lineage: Bacteria
Description: partial 16S ribosomal RNA
Rfam family: Bacterial small subunit ribosomal RNA
Source: RNAcentral
GACGAACGCUGGCGGCGUGCUUAACACAUGCAAGUCGAACGGAAAGGCCCUGCUUUUGUGGGGUGCCCGAGUGGCGAACGGGUGAGUAACACGUGAGUAACCUGCCCUUGACUUUGGGAUAACUUCAGGAAACUGGGGCUAAUACCGGAUAGGAGCUCCUGCUGCAUGGUGGGGGUUGGAAAGUUUCGGCGGUUGGGAAUGGACUCGCGGCUUAUCAGCUUGUUGGUGGGGUAGUGGCUUACCAAGGCUUUGACGGGUAGCCGGCCUGGGAGGGUGGCCGGCCACAUUGGGACUGAGGUACGGCGCAGAGUCCUACGGGAGGCAGCAGUGGGAAAUAUUGCACAAUGGGCGGGAGCCUGAGGCAGCAACGCCGCGUGCGGGAUGACGGCCUUCUGGUUGUAAACCGCUUUCGCCUGUUACGAAGCGUGAGUGACGGUAAUGGGUAAAGAAGCACCGGCUAACUACGUG